RNAcentral lists this transfer RNA (70 nucleotides) under Novumbra hubbsi. RNAcentral describes it as "tRNA-Trp". It matches the Rfam family "tRNA". From Rfam's summary of the family: Transfer RNA (tRNA) molecules are approximately 80 nucleotides in length. Their secondary structure includes four short double-helical elements and three loops (D, anti-codon, and T loops). The record is from RNAcentral. Lineage: Eukaryota; Metazoa; Chordata; Actinopteri; Esociformes; Umbridae.
GAGGCUUAGGAUAAUAUUAAAACCAAGAGCCUUCAAAGCCCUAAAUAGGGGUGAAAAUCCCCUAGUCUCU